Telopea speciosissima is the source of this 174-nucleotide long non-coding RNA. RefSeq lists it as uncharacterized. NCBI's taxonomy places the organism in Eukaryota, Viridiplantae, Streptophyta, Magnoliopsida, Proteales, Proteaceae. The record is from RefSeq and is a predicted model, not a curated record. The transcript has 2 exons.
UCACAGUCACAACAGUGAAAACUUAUACAGAAAUGAAUCGUGGAGACUUCCUUACUUUGGUUGCUUCUUCAGAGGCUAGCAGCGAACACCCAUUGGCAAGAGCAUUGGUGAAUUAUGCCCACCAUUUCCAUUUCCUCAAUGAGCCAUCUGCUGCUAAGGAUUUCCAUAAUGAAC